AGUGUAAGGUCUAUCGAUGUUAGAAAAUAAUGACUCUCAAAUAUCAAACCAAUGAUGUUAGGCUAAUGCAUGUUUUCAUGUUAAUCUGGAUGGGCGAGAUUUAUACCUAUCAGUCUAAUUACAGUGUUUGAACUUGUAACGUGGCUGCAUGAACUUCUAAAGCCUGUCCCAUGAUUCCAAGUUGAAACAGUUCACACAUAUAUUAUAACAAAGGUUUUUUUCUUCGUUUUGGUGGGGUUUUUCGGCUGUUCCUGCACACAUUGUUUUUCUUGAGGCAAGUCGAUGUUCGGUAACCGAAGUCUAUGCCCUUUUGUUGGUGAUUGGUCAACAGUACUACUAAUGACAGCUCCAAGCCUCAUCACCUCAUCGCCUCUCAUCCUAGCGGAAAUCACCUACUGUCUUCUCUUUCUACAUCUCUGUGGGAAUUGAGGAUGUCUCUCUCCAUCAAAGCAAAAUGAUGGUGAUGUAUUGUCCUGGAGGGAAGAUCUAUCCGCUGCAUUCAACACCGUG
This 510-nucleotide long non-coding RNA is filed under the name Salmo salar (Atlantic salmon). RNAcentral's name for it is "lncRNA (ENSSSAG00000087910.1, ENSSSAG00000115287.1)". The record is from RNAcentral. Lineage: Eukaryota; Metazoa; Chordata; Actinopteri; Salmoniformes; Salmonidae.